ACUCCUACGGGAGGCAGCAGUGGGGAAUAUUGGACAAUGGGCGCAAGCCUGAUCCAGCAAUGCCGCGUGUGUGAAGAAGGCCUUCGGGUUGUAAAGCACUUUUAUCAGGAGCGAAAUACUACUGGCUAAUAACCGGUGGGGCUGACGGUACCUGAGGAAUAAGCACCGGCUAACUUCGUGCCAGCAGCCGCGGUAAUACGAAGGGUGCAAGCGUUAAUCGGAAUUAUUGGGCGUAAAGGGAGUGUAGGCGGUUGCCUAAGUCUUCUGUGAAAUCUACGGGCUUAGCCUGUAACGUGCAGAGGAAACUGGGUGACUUGAGUGUCGGAGAGGAUAGGGGAAUACCCGGUGUAGAGGUGAAAUUCGUAGAGAUCGGGUGGAACACCAGUGGCGAAGGCGCCUAUCUGGCUGACAACUGACGCUGAGACUCGAAAGCAUGGGGAGCAAACAGGAUUAGAUACCCUGGUAGUCCAUGCCGUAAACGAUGAUAGCUAGAUGUGUGCGGUAUUGACCCCGUACGUGUCGAAGCCAACGCGAUAAGCUAUCCGCCUGGGGAGUACGGUCGCAAGAUUAAAACUCAAAGGAAUUGACG
Molecule: ribosomal RNA, 589 nt
Filed under: uncultured Gammaproteobacteria bacterium
Lineage: Bacteria; Pseudomonadati; Pseudomonadota; Gammaproteobacteria
Description: bacterial SSU rRNA
Rfam family: Bacterial small subunit ribosomal RNA
Source: RNAcentral